Molecule: long non-coding RNA, 229 nt
Filed under: Elaeis guineensis (African oil palm)
Lineage: Eukaryota; Viridiplantae; Streptophyta; Magnoliopsida; Arecales; Arecaceae
Description: long non-coding RNA (EGUI_LNC025705)
Source: RNAcentral
CUCUAGAGAGAGUUGUAACUUAGACUGUCGAGAAUGUUCACCCAUCGUCCAUCAAAUCAGCCUUGAUGACUUGGGACAUUUAGGACUCUAUGAUCGCUUAUAUAGCGACAUGGUCGGUGUUUAUUAUCUAAGAUCCUUGAACCUCGAGAUUUCUCAAAAUCAACUUUGAUGGCAAUGUGAGCGAUAGUAGAGGCAAAACUAAACUCAAGAUUUAUGACAGCAAGCAGAA